AGAUGUAAGGCUUAAAUUAUAUAAAAUCUAAAAGAUAAUAUAGUAGAAAUAGCACUUGUUUACGUUUGUGGUAUAUGUGAGGAGAUUUGCAACAAUUAUUUAGAUCAUUGUUGUUU
This is a long non-coding RNA of Cotesia glomerata, 116 nucleotides long. RefSeq lists it as uncharacterized. Lineage: Eukaryota; Metazoa; Arthropoda; Insecta; Hymenoptera; Braconidae. The transcript has 2 exons. The record is from RefSeq and is a predicted model, not a curated record.